Molecule: ribosomal RNA, 91 nt
Filed under: Pseudomonas aeruginosa
Lineage: Bacteria; Pseudomonadati; Pseudomonadota; Gammaproteobacteria; Pseudomonadales; Pseudomonadaceae
Also listed under: 57 other names
Source: RNAcentral
CACCUGACCCCAUGCCGAACUCAGAAGUGAAACGCCGUAGCGCCGAUGGUAGUGUGGGGUCUCCCCAUGUGAGAGUAGGGAACUGCCAGGC